Chrysoperla carnea is the source of this 284-nucleotide long non-coding RNA. RefSeq lists it as uncharacterized. The transcript is spliced from 3 exons. The record is from RefSeq and is a predicted model, not a curated record. NCBI's taxonomy places the organism in Eukaryota, Metazoa, Arthropoda, Insecta, Neuroptera, Chrysopidae.
UACUAAAGUUAAAAUCAUUAAAUGAAUUUAAAAAAACAAAACAAGAAACUAAAAAAAGAUCACAACUUCACAAAAAUCACAAGGCGACAUAACCUUAUUAAAGUAAAUCUCCAAUUACUAUUAGAUACGGAUUAAAACAGAAGAAAAAAUAACAACCGUACUUUAAAAUCUAGGAAAAGCCACCAUAGGACAACCGAUACACGACCAAAAACAAACAACACCAGCCGUUGAUGAAAUGUCCAGAGUACAUUAUUGACUGCAAGAUUUCCAGUUUCUCCACGAUA